CAAAAUAUUAUUUAUGCCAGGGGGAGUCAAAUGGCGGCACCCAGAUAAUUUUUAUCUGGCCCUCCAACUGGUUUUUGAUGUUUAAAACCGCUCGCAAUCUGAUAUCAAAGUCCCCGCAAAGGUUUAGCGUUUUCAGCGUGAAUGUCAACCCGUUCUCACUCCUGACCGUUCUCACGCUGAAGAAGUCUCCUUCAGAACACAUCGCGAUAUUUGGCAUCAGUUCGCGUGUGCUGGAUGUUGCUGAAAAGACAAAAAGGGCCUUUUGGAAAUGGAUGAAGGAGACAGAAAGCUGCAAAGGCAAAUAAUUGCAAUGGAUUACUUGCAGAUUACUUAGUCCUUCUUUUUAGGAUCUCUACAACAUCAAACUCAACAGCUCUUUUAAGAGCCGACCCUCACAAGAGCUACUAGUGAGUCGCUGCAAACCUGCCAUGAUCAGCCCUUUCCAGAGAAGGAAGACCAGUCCUUAUAUCAAAACAAGCUCAUCGAAGUCCUUUGUUUAGGGUGAGGAAGGAACAUGACCAUCUCAUGCCCAAAGAAGACAGAAGUCCAUUGAUAGCAAGUGAAGUCACUAACAGAAGAUCCUAGAGGAAAAACGACUGUUGUGCAGCUACGGAGGAACACAAGAGGCAGAAACUAUGCAUGGCCAUGGCUUCUUCAUGAGUACGACCAGGACUGAAGAACGCCUGACAAUGGGAUGUUAAGACUUCUUCCUCUGGUUGAGAAAAAGCUACAGCACAUCAGUGAUCACAUCUUCUGGUCAUCAGUUGUACUGUAGAGUACAACUGAACAAACUGUUUAGAAGAAGAAGAACAUGAACAUGAUAGAGACGUGUACAGGGAAGAGCAAGAACCCAGUUCAGCUGUGAUAAUGAAUCUUUAUUUUAAACUCAAUAUCAAAUCUGUUUUCUGGAUCAUAGUUGACUGGAUGGGAUUCUGUGGCGCUCAUUUGUGCAAUAGGAGUAAAGUCUGUGAAUGGAUUAUUAUGACGUUAACGUAUUUUUGAAGACACGUUUUUAUUUAUCUUGAAUCUCAUUUGUCUUUAUGCAAAUUUCAACCUUAUGCUGUAUCCUCCAAUAAAGUGUUGUGUAAUAAA
Megalobrama amblycephala (Wuchang bream) is the source of this 1092-nucleotide long non-coding RNA. RefSeq lists it as uncharacterized. The record is from RefSeq and is a predicted model, not a curated record. The transcript has 7 exons. Lineage: Eukaryota; Metazoa; Chordata; Actinopteri; Cypriniformes; Xenocyprididae.